CUUAUCCAGAGUCAGAGUGAGCGAGAGCAGGAAGCAAACGUCUGGAAACAGGACCUGUUUAAAACAUUGUUUCUGAACAAAGCUGGUGAGGCUUCUCAGAAGGGGAGAAAGCCAGUUCUAAUCGGGAUCUUUCUGAAAUCUAAUCAUUGGAGCUAAAGUGAUGGCUUCGAGGUUAAAAGUGAGUACUGCUCUUGCAGAGGACCUGAGUUUGGUUGCCAGCACCCACA
This is a long non-coding RNA of Mus musculus (house mouse), 227 nucleotides long. RefSeq annotates it as predicted gene, 31879. Lineage: Eukaryota; Metazoa; Chordata; Mammalia; Rodentia; Muridae. The record is from RefSeq and is a predicted model, not a curated record. The transcript is spliced from 3 exons.